UCAUUGAUCAACAAGGAAAGCACAUCCCUUAAGAUGGGUUUAGGGGUGAUUCUUUUUCUUGUUGCUCUUUUGAAAGGUGUCCAGUGUGAGGUGAAACUUGUCGAGUCUGGAGGUGGCCUGGUGCAACCUGGAGGAUCCUUGAAACUCUCCUGUGCAGCCUCUGGAUUCACUUUUAAUACUUACUGGAUGGGCUGGGUCCGGCAGGCUCCAGGGAAGGGACUAGAAUGGAUUGGAGAAAUUAAUCAGGAUAGCAGUACAAUAAACUAUACUCCAUCCUUGAAGGAUAAAUUCACCAUCUCCAGAGACAAUGCCCAAAACACUCUGUACCUGCAAAUGAACAAACUGGGAUCUGAGGACACAGCCAUUUAUUACUGUGCAAGAGCCACAGUGAGGAGAACACAGUAUGUGCCCAGACGAAAACAUAAUUGUGAGGCCCCUCACAACCACUAG
Non-coding RNA from Rattus rattus (black rat), 450 nucleotides. The record is from the annotation of a RefSeq genome assembly. NCBI's taxonomy places the organism in Eukaryota, Metazoa, Chordata, Mammalia, Rodentia, Muridae.